This 102-nucleotide Y RNA is filed under the name Aotus nancymaae (Ma's night monkey). Its description in RNAcentral is "Y RNA (ENSANAG00000004517.1)". It matches the Rfam family "Y RNA". From Rfam's summary of the family: Y RNAs are components of the Ro ribonucleoprotein particle (Ro RNP), in association with Ro60 and La proteins. The Y RNAs and Ro60 and La proteins are well conserved, but the function of the Ro RNP is not known. In humans the RNA component can be one of four small RNAs -- hY1, hY3, hY4 and hY5. Lineage: Eukaryota; Metazoa; Chordata; Mammalia; Primates; Aotidae. The record is from Rfam by way of RNAcentral.
CACUGGUCUGAGUGCAGUGGUGUUUACAACUAAUUGAUCACAACCAGUUACAGAUUUCUUUGUUCCUUCUCCACUCCCACUGCUUCACUUGACUAGCCUAAA